Molecule: long non-coding RNA, 649 nt
Filed under: Vulpes vulpes (red fox)
Lineage: Eukaryota; Metazoa; Chordata; Mammalia; Carnivora; Canidae
Description: lncRNA (ENSVVUG00000016869.1)
Source: RNAcentral
CUUCUUUAUGCCUUGACUUCAAAUCAAGGCACACCCAAGUCUUCCCUUUUUUGCAAUGUAAAGCUUUCUCACUCCUCUGCCUGCCUCUGACUCUCUGCCAAAAUGCAAGUGAUGGCAGCUGACUCCCUUGUUAUAGCAAGUUCUGAAUAAAUAGCUUUUGCUUGUUCUCAGUUGGCUGGUCUUCAUUUAUUUCCACAGAGAAAAUUCUACUAUCUAAAUGCACUCAUUGGCUGGCCAGAAAUAAGGAAAAACAAACAAACAAACAAACAAAUUAAGUUGUGGAAUCCAGGGAGGUAAGCCGAACACAAAAUGGUUUUCCUUUUUUCUUUUUUCUUUUUUCUUUGCUUGUCUGUCUUUCUUUCUUUCUUUCUUUCUUUCUUUCUUUUUUUUUUUUAGAGGAAAUUUGCUGUAUCUGAUGAGCCUGUGCUUUGGGAUUUGUGACAUCAUGAAGCAGAUGGAACAUGAGAUACGACUUUCUACCAAUGGAGAAAAUAAAUGUGUGUGUUUUGCAGCAUGGAGGGGUGGAGGUAGAAAAGGAAGAGGAAAGUGAGGCAAAAUUCAACUAAUGCAUCAUUUUGACACAUCCGUUGUUUGGUCAGUGGUGUGCAGUCUGCUAUUUCUGAUAUAAUAAAUGUUUACGGUACUUCCA